GCGGGAGUAGCUCAGCUGGCAGAGCGUCUGCUUCCCAAGCAGAAGGUCGAGGGUUCGAGACCCUUCUCCCGCUCCA
Molecule: transfer RNA, 76 nt
Filed under: Chloroflexota bacterium
Lineage: Bacteria; Bacillati; Chloroflexota
Description: Chloroflexi bacterium tRNA-Gly
Rfam family: tRNA
About the family: Transfer RNA (tRNA) molecules are approximately 80 nucleotides in length. Their secondary structure includes four short double-helical elements and three loops (D, anti-codon, and T loops). Further hydrogen bonds mediate the characteristic L-shaped molecular structure. tRNAs have two regions of fundamental functional importance: the anti-codon, which is responsible for specific mRNA codon recognition, and the 3' end, to which the tRNAs corresponding amino acid is attached (by aminoacyl-tRNA synthetases). tRNAs cope with the degeneracy of the genetic code in two manners: having more than one tRNA (with a specific anti-codon) for a particular amino acid; and 'wobble' base-pairing, i.e. permitting non-standard base-pairing at the 3rd anti-codon position.
Source: RNAcentral